RNAcentral lists this ribosomal RNA (429 nucleotides) under Bacillota bacterium. RNAcentral describes it as "Firmicutes bacterium partial 16S ribosomal RNA". It matches the Rfam family "Bacterial small subunit ribosomal RNA", at positions 355 to 776 of the family's 1533-position model. Lineage: Bacteria; Bacillati; Bacillota. The record is from RNAcentral.
UAGGGAAUCUUCGGCAAUGGACGGAAGUCUGACCGAGCAACGCCGCGUGAGUGAAGAAGGUUUUCGGAUCGUAAAGCCCUGUUGUUAGAGAAGAACGUUGGUAGGAGUGGAAAAUCUACCAAGUGACGGUAACUAACCAGAAAGGGACGGCUAACUACGUGCCAGCAGCCGCGGUAAUACGUAGGUCCCGAGCGUUGUCCGGAUUUAUUGGGCGUAAAGCGAGCGCAGGCGGUUCUUUAAGUCUGAAGUUAAAGGCAGUGGCUUAACCAUUGUACGCUUUUGAAACUGGAGGACUUGAGUGCAGAAGGGGAGAGUGGAAUUUCAUGUGUAGCGGUGAAAUGCGUAGAUAUAUGGAGGAACACCGGUGGCGAAAGCGGCUCUCUGGUCUGUAACUGACGCUGAGGCUCGAAAGCGUGGGGAGCAAACAGG